RNAcentral lists this long non-coding RNA (406 nucleotides) under Zea mays. RNAcentral describes it as "long non-coding RNA (ZMAY_LNC003370)". The record is from RNAcentral. Lineage: Eukaryota; Viridiplantae; Streptophyta; Magnoliopsida; Poales; Poaceae.
GAUAACCUAGCUAAACCAAUUUCAUCCGGCCUGGCCAGCAAGAGUUUUUUUAACUCAGGUACUCCCGUAAGUGGACUUCUUAAAAUUAUUACUCCAAAGUGUGCAAUUAGAUUAUAGUAUUAUAAUACAUAUUCGUUUAUAAAUUUAUUAUCGUCGUUGCUUUAAACCCGUCUACAGCUCACUAACGGCGGCUGUUACUGGCAUUUCUCCCCUCAACCCUUCAUCCCAUUCUUGGAAACGGAUUUCAGACAGCCGACGAGACUGUUCUUCCACGCCGCCGAUGAGACUCGUCUUCCACACUGGUUCGCGCUCUCGACUGCUCUUGGUUCGUGCUCGACGCAAAUGGAGGCGCCACCAGGUCUUGCUUCACGCUCCUUGGAAAUGGAGGCGCCUCCGGCCGGCGCCG